UACGUAGGGGGCGAGCGUUGUCCGGAUUUACUGGGCGUAAAGCGCGCGUAGGCGGCUUUGCAAGUCGGGUGUGAAAUCCCCAGGCUUAACCUGGGAACUGCAUUCGAGACUGCAUUGCUAGAGUAUGGGAGAGGGAAGUGGAAUUUCCGGUGUAGCGGUGAAAUGCGUAGAUAUCGGAAGGAACAUCAGUGGCGAAAGCGACUUCCUGGACCAAUACUGACGCUCAUGUGCGAAAGCGUGGGGAGCAAACAGG
RNAcentral lists this ribosomal RNA (253 nucleotides) under uncultured bacterium. RNAcentral's name for it is "partial 16S ribosomal RNA". It matches the Rfam family "Bacterial small subunit ribosomal RNA", at positions 524 to 776 of the family's 1533-position model. The record is from RNAcentral.